Long non-coding RNA from Quercus lobata, 556 nucleotides. RefSeq lists it as uncharacterized. The record is from RefSeq and is a predicted model, not a curated record. The transcript has 3 exons. Lineage: Eukaryota; Viridiplantae; Streptophyta; Magnoliopsida; Fagales; Fagaceae.
GCUAGAAGCUCUCUUGAGUCUUCUCUCAAACCCACGGGUCAACACCUCAAAAGGAAAAUAAAACUCCAUCUCAUUUCUUCUUCAUACUCUCUCAAAGAAACUAGAAGACUCAAAUACUCUCUCAAGCUCUCUACCUCUCAUACUUUCGAGUCCAGCCACUAGGAAAGGGAAAUCCUUUCAUGCCAGAGUGAUUCUAUGUCUAUUUCCCCUCAAGAACCAUAAACUUGGUAUUACCAGUACCCAAGUCUAAGCUCCUUUGACUUUAGGCUCUCGGUUCCUCUGCUUUCAGUAGAGGAAAUGGGGUUGCCCGUAACUCUAGGCCAUUUAAAGUAGAGGAAAUGAGGCUGCUCGUAAUUCUAAUCUGAACAAGGCCUUCUCUCCAAUAUGUACGGACGGUGGGGAGGAACAAAACCUUUAGGGGAUGUGCCAUCAGACCUCCCAAAGAGGACAAUAUCAUGCAUACGAGGGCACCCAAAUGUGGUGAGACCUUCUCUGUACAGACUUAUCAGAUAUGGAUUAACCAAUAUGUUAUGAACAGCUAUAUUAUGUUAUUGAU